UCAAUCAUUACCAUGUAUAGUUAAAUCAUUGCUAGCCAUCCCACUGUAGGAAUCUGUUCUAGUAAUGUCUGGUGUCUCACUCAUCAUGACCGGAAUGUGUAAAACUAAAGGGAGUAUUACACUGUGAAUGUGUAAUACUAAGUAUGAGGCCACUGCUAGUAGAGGAGGAGAAACUAGGUUUGAAAUGUUAAAGUCAGAACCAAGUGUGUGGAAACAUUUUUAGAUUAUUUAAAACCAUAAGAUUCAGUUUUCAUCCCAUUCAUUCAAAAUGUUAGUGCUCUUAUAUAGAAAAUAAUUGACAGUUUAACGUAUAUAAUUGUACAUGUACCAAUUUUUUUCUAUUUUAGUGGAAAUAAUAUAUUUGAUAAAAUUAAAAUAUGUAAUUUCAUUUGCUUAUUGGAACACUUUAGUAAAGCAAGUAAAUGAUAGACUUCUGAUUUGGAUGUAUGUUAAGGACGUAUUGUAUUAUACUUAUCUAACAAGAGAAAAUUCAGAUAAAAACUAGUAGAAUAGGAAACAAAAAUGACUAAAGAAUUGCCAUCAAUAAUUAGCAAUUAUUUUGAUGUUGUGAUGUGAAUUGUGACAUAAAAAUGUUCUGAUCACACAAAAGCAAUUAUUCAUUUUAGGGGAAAAAUAAAUUUUAAACAAAUAAUGAGUAGGCUCUUGGUUUUUUGAUAAACUAAUUAAUGAAAAAGAGUGAAUCAUGUAAAAAUACUGGAAAGAUACCUGAAUGACUGACUGACUUGAAACCAGAUUCUCUAACCAGUGAAACAUAACAAUUUCAUAACACAACAACAGUGGCAUUGAUGAUUGGUUAAUAAAUGGUUUAAAUUUAGGAUACAUAAGGGUAGUUACUGCACAAGAAAACUUGUAUUGGAAUCUCAAGUUUUUAUUUGAGAGAAGCUUGGUCACAUUUAUCAACUCUUUAGAAAAUUUGCAUCAUAUUUCUGAUAAUAGGUUGUAAAGUUCACAGUUGCCACAAAUUUUGAACAAUUGUGCUAGAGUAAAGGACUAAAUUAUCCUCCUUGUCUCUGUAUAGGGAACCUUAUAAAAUCUUGUCAUAUGAAAAGUCAAGCAAAGAGUACUUAACAGUAAAUAUAGGAAAUAAGGUAUAACAGAAGUGUUUCAGACAGUUAAUUAAAAUAAAUGGUUUUUUUCCCUAGGUCACGUGAUAUUUAUAUUUGUUAGUAUUCUGUUGAUUUUUUUUUUCAUUUCAAAUAUGUAUUCACUUUCAUUUCUAAUUUUUAUUCUUUCUUUUAAAUCCUCCAAUUUUUAGAAGCUUUAGGCCCCUCAAAACCUAGAUUUGCCCUUGUUAAGGGACUAGAGCAUGGAUGAAGGUGGGAUCUAAUGGGUUUGUUGGGGGAUGGUUUAGAGGGACUGUGUCUUUCUGAAGAGGUGGCACUUGAACAAAGAUCUGAUUAAAGGCACAGAGAGUGUUUGAUGGAACGAGCAGUUCAAGUAGGAUUCCUGUAAACUUAAAGGCCCUCUGUAGGAGAAGUCUGGUAUAUUAAUUAAAAGGAGGCAAUGAGGCUGGGGGCCUGGGCUUGGAGAUGAGUUUGAUAAGGAAAGCAAGGACCAAAUUACAUAUGACCUAGAUAGGAAUUUAAGGAAUUUAGAUUUUGGUUCUAGUUGUAAUGGGGUUACUGUUGGAGAAUUUAUCAUAUUUUCAUACUGUCAGUGAAACUCUUUGAUGUGCUUAUUUGGAGACGGAGGCCUCUUUCAUCUUUUAGGUUUAUCAUCCUGUUAUGCUUUAUUUUCAAGUUCCAGCUAUAGCAAGGAGAAGUAACCUGCAUACCUGCUGUCUUAAAAUACCAAAUGCAGAAGGGCACAUACGUUACUUAUAAAAUUCAUUUUCCUUUGAUGAGAAUUUAGUUACAUGUAAUUGCAAGGAAGCCACAUACCAAGCUAUAAUGCUGUUACUGUGGAUGCUGAGAAUGAAUUUUGGUUAGGAAAUUUGGUAUCACUGCCACGUUAAUACUUAAUGUCUUAGGGCUUCAGAUCUGAUUUAUUCUAACUUAUACUUAGUAUUCCAUUUUAAGGUUGUACUAAGGUUUAAUAUUUAACCAUCCUCUUAUUGCUAGAUUAAUUUUGAAGUCCUUGGUGUCAAAAGCAAGGCUGUGACAAGCAACCUUGUUACAUUUCCUUGAACAUUGUUAGUUGAACAAAAAAGUAUAAUUGCUACCUAAUAGGGUAUAAGCAUUAAAAAAAACUGAACUAAGUACUGUGAAAUUGUUCUUCAAGCAUUACUCUCAGAGAGUAUAUAUUUAUCAGUGAAUAUGUUUAUUUCACUACCCCCCUCAUUAAUACUUGAUUUUGUUUUUGAUAAUCUUUUAACUGAAAAAUGCUUUCUCAUUGUUUUGAUUUGCAUUUUCAUUAUUGGUGAGGCUGAACAUCUUUUUGUAAGUUUCUGGCAAUUAUUUCUAUGAAUUGUUUAUAUAUUACCAUUUUUUUCUCUUGAAAUUGUUUUUUUAAGAAAUCUGGUUAUUUUAAUCCUUUGGAUCUUAUAUCUGUUUCAAGAAUAUUUUCCUAGUUUGUUGCCAGUUAAACUUUUUAAAUGGUGUUUUUAUAUUGUAUGUUUCUGUAUUGUUUCAUAUAGAAGUGAGAAAUUUUGAUAUCCUGAAAUUUAUAUUACUAGUUUCCAAACUAUUCUGUAGAAGCAAAUAUCACACAAACUUUAUAAACUACUUUUAAAAAAAUAUAUUUAUUUUUUAUUUUCUCCUUUUUGUUUAAAAAUUUUCAGAUCCACAGUUGAGAAAAUAGUACAGUGAACACUCACCAGUUGUUGACAUUUUGUUACUAUUUUGCCACUACUUUCACUUUAUAUAUUUCUAUUUCUAUUUAUAUCCAUAUCUACAUUGACAGAUACAACAUAAACUUCUUUUGGUUACACAUUGAAAAACACACAUUUAUGUUUCCUGAUACUUUAAAUACUAAGCAUGAAUAAUGUAAAAAAUAUUUUUUUUCAUUUAUGAGCACAAUACCAUUAUUAUACCUAUGAAAAAAGGUUGGGUUUCAUUUCUCCCUUGAUACAUUACUCUCAUUUUUAUAUUAUGUAAAUCUUAGCUCUCAUAAUGGUCUGUGCAGGGUGCAUAGUUUUGAACCCACAUUUCCCAAAGAACUUUGGGACAUCUGUCAGUGGAUACAUGACAUUGUUCCAAGAACAAACACUAGAAGGCUUUCACAAUGCAAUACAAAGCUCAGUUACAGAAAUGCAUCCUAAUAUUUGGAAACUGAUACCUCUUUUACUAAAGGAGGAAACUUUAGGGGAAAAAACAAGUGUGAUGCUGAAUGAGGAAGGAGAUAAAUCAACAAGCAAAAAAAAAAAGUUUAAUACUUUUAUGUAUGAAAGACUUUGAAGAUUAGAUAGUGAUUAGAUAUGGUCAAUAAAAUAAAAUCAGUUAUUUGUGCAAUAUUGCCAUGAAUCAACAGUGUCAGUUCUAGGUAGUUUUUGCCAUAAGCAUCUUUGAGAAAUGUAAAAAUGCUCACCGCGUUGUCAAUAAUGUUAAUAGUCAUUUGUGUAGUUAAUGAAUCAGUAAAUGUGUCUCAUCUUGAGCAUUUUGUAUUACAGAUGAUACUAGUACUCAUUUUAAGUUUGGGGCGUUCUUUUUAGUUUUAUACAUUUAUGAUAAGUUAACACUUGUUGGAAAUUGUUAGUGAUUUAGCUUUGGAUCGAAAAGUUCCAAUAGAUCUUUUAGAAAUUUCUCAUUCAACUACUAAUCUUUAUGCUUCAAGAUUUUCUUGAUAUAGUAUAACCAAAACAAUAUAGAAGUAAGUUACUGAAACUGAUAAAAACUCAGUGAUUCCAUAUUUUUAUAUUUAUUAGUCUUAACUUGGUUUAUUAAUUUUAUUUAUGAAAAUAUAACAUGAAAUCUGUACUCAAAAAUUUUAUGCUAAAAACAUUGUUCCUAUGUUUUAAAUAUUGGAGUUCCAUAUAAAAUUUCAUUUGGAAAGGGUUCAAUUAGGGGAAAAUUGUUGAAGAUCUCUCUUACAUUGUUAAUAGGGUAAAGUAAACAUUUUCUAUUUAUUUAGUAUUAUAUUUUCUGUUUUUUUUUUGUCAUGGAUGGCUGGUUACUUUUUUAACUUCAGAGUAAGUGUAGUACUAAUUUAUUUAUAUAGUAAUAUAUAUUUAUAUGUAGUACAUCCUCAGACAUUGCUCCUGAGGGUUUCUGACUUCUCAGAACCCAUUUAUUAUAGAAAAUAGCAAUUCUAGCUCCAAAGUGAUUAAAAACCUUAUAAUAAAAUAAAAGCUCCAAAGAAUAUGAUCUGGAUAGUAAAACAAUUUAAAAUAUUUUUUGAUAUAACUAUUUUAAUAAUAUAUACUUAACUUUUUAAGAGGUGGUAUGUUAUGACCAUAGUUUUAUUUUGGAUAAUUUCGUGUUUCCAGUUUGAAUCUCAGUUACUAUAAUAAAGUCAUGCCAUUAGAAGAGAGAGUUUAUAGUUUAACUCAUCUCUGACUUUUAUAGAUAGGUCAGCUAGAUUCCCUCCUUUCUCACACCCUCUAAUACCUAUUAAAACCAUUAUUAUCCUCCAUUUUAUAAAUAGGGAAGAAAGUUUCCUUUCCCUUACCCAUACUUAUUAUCAUCUACAAACAAAAGGCUUUAUUAGGGAUAUUUUAAGGCAUUAUUUCUGUAGUUUGUAAUACAGGGAAAAUUGGUGUAUUUAUUGUAGUAUUGACUGUGCUUUUUAAAACUAUAGUCCUGCCCUGCCCCUCCACUUGAUUUGGAAUUACUGCUUUAUGACUGUAAGGGCAGUCUGUCUUUGAUAUAACUCCCAAUUGAUCACCAGGGUUGACUGACUAAACUGCUAUCUCUAAAAACAAUCUUGGGAAUGACUAUUGGGUUUUCUCUUUGCAUGUUUUGGCUACUCAUAGUUAAUUUGCUAGGAUACCACAGUACUCUACUUGGUCUAAAAAGAUGGAGUAAUAACACCAUCUUGCUUAUUGGGCAGAAACGUGUAAAAAUGGGCUCUGUUUUACUAUAGAAUCAGCUUAAUUGGAAAAAAGUAGACAUGCUAAUGGUUUUGAAAAUAUGAUUCUGAAGUUAUCUCUCUGGCUUGACUAUUUUUCUUACAGCAUUAGUGGCAGAUUGAACGCUCUUGUAUGAAGUGUAGAUAUGUUGUAAUCUGAACUGGCUUUCCAUUUUGUCUAGUAAUUUAGAGAGAAUACCACUCAGAAUUCCUCACUUCUCUCUUGGGACCAUUUCAUUGCACCUUGAAGUAAAUAUGCAGAGAGGAAAUAACUAGACUGAUUUCUGUAAGUUAGAUUACACUAGUUGGGGAAUAUUUUAAUUGUGAUUGUCUGGCUAUGUUAAGGUUAAGGCUGUAUUGGUUUUGCUUUCAGCUAAGCUACAAAAUGGAAAGAUUGAAUUGCUUAUCUAUCUAUCAACACAUGCUGAAACUUUUUUGUGAUAGACAGAAGUUAACAUAGCAAAUUGAACAUAGCUGGGUGGUUCCCCAAAUACACCCUUCUCCUUCCUCUCUUUCUUUUUUUUCCCUUUUUCCCCCCCCCCCCUUUUUUUUACAUGAUAAGUGGUUUUCCUCAGAUAUAAGUAAGUUCAUUCUUAAUGGAGCUGGUUUGCAAAAAGAGAGGACUAUGGAAGCAAGUCAGAAUGAGAUUAUUCUGCUAUUUUUAAAUGAGCAAAAGGAUGUUUAUGAGAUGAUGGCUUAAGGUAGUAUUGUGUACUGAGAAUUGUCUUACCUAAAACCUAGAUGUGUUGAUUUCCCAAUAGUGUCUCUGAGCUAUGAUGGAUCAUACAUAUCUGGAUCAUUCUUUUUAGUUGACUAAGUUGAUACAUUCAGUUAAAAAUGUCAAAAGACAAGUCAAUAAUUCAUUAGCUACUCUUUUAGAAGGUGAAAAUAUAUGUGCCUUAUCACUAGUAAAGUUUAUUUUUUACCAUUGUGUCAAUCUUCUUAGAAAGUUUAUUUUAAACAUCAAAUUAUAAAAGUUUCCUGAGCUUUUUCUCUGUCUCUCUGUCUCUCUCUUUUUAAUGGGGUUUGUGAUGACUGUACUGGUAGAGAAAUCCAUUGGAAACUGAGUACCAUUACCUUUUUCCUUUACCUUCUGACCAGGAAACAUCAUAGACUAUAUAUAUUUAUUCUUAAGAUAUCACUAUUACUAAAGUCUUUUUGCAGUUUCUCUUUGAAUAAAUGGAUAUGUAAAAGUAAUUUGCUAUAAAGUAUUUCUGGAUUUUCCUUUAAACAAUUUUUAAAAACAUACUUUGCACUUAUAAUUUUGAACUAAAAUAUUAUUAAAAACACAUAACAUUGGUUUAUUUAGAUACAUUUUUAUUAAAGAAAAUUAUGUAAAAGGUGGAAGUGCAUUGUUAGAAUAAUUGAAUGUCUAGCUUUGGUUAAAUGGCUGUUUAUUAGUGUACUAAAACUUAAACAUCUCUGCAUUCAGUCUUUAUUUUUCCACAUCUUUUUCUUAUGUUCUAGGGCUGUUUGUUGGAAGGGGAUAUAUAAAAAGUUAUCAUUAAUAUAUUUUUAACCAUUGUCCACUUGAAAAUCAGUGCUUAAAUUUAAAGCAAAAUUUAGUGCUAUUUAAGUGUAGAAUUCUUAAUUGUAUAGUUCCCUCUUCUGUCUUUUCAGAGCUAUUGCACCAUAUUACAAUUUUCAAAUUGAUGUCAACAAGUGUUCAAAAAUUACCAGGAGACUUAAAUUGCUUUUGAUUCUCUGGUGUUUAAAGGACUCCUGUGUCUGCUACCUGUAUAUCUAGUGUUUCUUUUGGGGUUAGAAUUUGGAAUAGGCAUUAUGAGAAGUUAUUUGUAGGAAAUAGGAGAGAUUGGGGUGCAAAAUAAGUGAUACAGUGAAGAAGCAUACAGACAAUUUUAGAAUAUAGGACAGCUAAUGUGGGGAAUGCCUGGGUGGCUCAGCGGUUGAGAACCUACCUUUGGCUCAGCGGUUGAGCACCUGCCUUUGAUCCAGGAUCAAGUCCCACAUUGAGCUCCCUGUGAGGAGCCCGCUUCUCCCUCUGCCUAUGUCUCUGCCUCUCUCUGUCUGUGUCUCUCAUGAAUAAAUAAAUAAAUCUUAAAAAAAAAAAAAAAAGAAUAGCUAAUGCGGUUUCUCCAGGUCAGUGGCAUGUAAAAGAGGGACAUGGGGAGUUACUACUAAGUAAAAAAAGAUGUAAGAAAUAUAACAGCCACAUACAAAGUGGUUCAUGUUUGUUUUCUUUUUAUUUUAUUUUAUAUAUUUUUUAUUUUUAAAAAUCUUUUUAAGAGAUUUUAAUUUAUUUUGAGAGAGAGUGCAUGAGAGAGAGAGAGAAUGAGCGGGAGUAGGGGCAGAGGGAGAGGGAGGAGCAGACUCCCCGCUGAGUAGGGAGCCUGAUGUGGGGCUCAGUUCCAGGAAACUGAGAUCAGGACCUAAGCCACAGGCAGAUGUUUAACCAGCUUUGCCACCCAGGUGUCUCUGGAUUCUUUUUAGAUCAAAUUAUCUAGAAAAGACAUUUUUGAGAUGAUACUAGAAAUUUAAAUUUGGUUGGUAUUAGUUAAUACAAUGGAAACUUAAAAAAAAAAACGAUUUAUUUAUUUAUUUAUGAGUGACACAGAGAGGCAGAGACACACAGGCAGAGAGAGAAGCAGGCUCCCCGUCUCGAUCCUGGAUUCUGGGAUCACACCCUGAGCCAAAGGCAGACACUGAACCACUGAGCCACCUAGGUAUCCCAGUACCAUGGAAACUUAAUUUGAUGAGUGUGAUGUAGUGAUUUUGUGAUUAUAUAAAGCAGUAGGUUAAUUAUUUAAAUAUACAUGAUAUGGUAGGUGGGUAGGAGGGGGAGUGACAUUAUGUCUAGCAUUUACUUUAAAAUACC
RNAcentral lists this long non-coding RNA (7801 nucleotides) under Canis lupus familiaris (dog). Its description in RNAcentral is "lncRNA (ENSCAFG00845007346.1)". The record is from RNAcentral. Lineage: Eukaryota; Metazoa; Chordata; Mammalia; Carnivora; Canidae.